RNAcentral lists this ribosomal RNA (390 nucleotides) under uncultured bacterium. Its description in RNAcentral is "bacterial SSU rRNA". It matches the Rfam family "Bacterial small subunit ribosomal RNA", at positions 29 to 419 of the family's 1533-position model. The record is from RNAcentral.
AUUAAACGCUGGCGGCAUGCCUUACACAUGCAAGUCGAACGGCAGCACGGGGGCAACCCUGGUGGCGAGUGGCGGACGGGUGAGUAAAGCAUCGGAACGUAUCCUGGAGUGGGGGAGUAACGUAGCGAAAGUUACGCUAAUACCGCAUAUUCUGUGAGCAGGAAAGCAGGGGAUCGCAAGACCUUGCGCUCUGGGAGCGGCCGAUGUCGGAUUAGCUAGUUGGUGGGGUAAAGGCCUACCAAGGCGACGAUCCGUAGCGGGUCUGAGAGGAUGAUCCGCCACACUGGGACUGAGACACGGCCCAGACUCCUACGGGAGGCAGCAGUGGGGAAUUUUGGACAAUGGGCGGAAGCCUGAUCCAGCCAUGCCGCGUGAGUGAAGAAGGCCUUC